RNAcentral lists this ribosomal RNA (2926 nucleotides) under Escherichia coli. RNAcentral's name for it is "23S ribosomal RNA". It matches the Rfam family "Bacterial large subunit ribosomal RNA". The record is from RNAcentral. Lineage: Bacteria; Pseudomonadati; Pseudomonadota; Gammaproteobacteria; Enterobacterales; Enterobacteriaceae.
GGGUUGUGAGGUUAAGCGACUAAGCGUACACGGUGGAUGCCCUGGCAGUCAGAGGCGAUGAAGGACGUGCUAAUCUGCGAUAAGCGUCGGUGAGGUGAUAUGAACCGUUAUAACCGGCGAUUUCCGAAUGGGGAAACCCAGUGUGUUUCGACACACUAUCAUUAACUGAAUCCAUAGGUUAAUGAGGCGAACCGGGGGAACUGAAACAUCUAAGUACCCCGAGGAAAAGAAAUCAACCGAGAUUCCCCCAGUAGCGGCGAGCGAACGGGGAGGAGCCCAGAGCCUGAAUCAGUGUGUGUGUUAGUGGAAGCGUCUGGAAAGGCGCGCGAUACAGGGUGACAGCCCCGUACACAAAAAUGCACAUGCUGUGAGCUCGAUGAGUAGGGCGGGACACGUGGUAUCCUGUCUGAAUAUGGGGGGACCAUCCUCCAAGGCUAAAUACUCCUGACUGACCGAUAGUGAACCAGUACCGUGAGGGAAAGGCGAAAAGAACCCCGGCGAGGGGAGUGAAAAAGAACCUGAAACCGUGUACGUACAAGCAGUGGGAGCCUCUUAAUGGGGUGACUGCGUACCUUUUGUAUAAUGGGUCAGCGACUUAUAUUCUGUAGCAAGGUUAACCGAAUAGGGGAGCCGAAGGGAAACCGAGUCUUAACUGGGCGUUAAGUUGCAGGGUAUAGACCCGAAACCCGGUGAUCUAGCCAUGGGCAGGUUGAAGGUUGGGUAACACUAACUGGAGGACCGAACCGACUAAUGUUGAAAAAUUAGCGGAUGACUUGUGGCUGGGGGUGAAAGGCCAAUCAAACCGGGAGAUAGCUGGUUCUCCCCGAAAGCUAUUUAGGUAGCGCCUCGUGAAUUCAUCUCCGGGGGUAGAGCACUGUUUCGGCAAGGGGGUCAUCCCGACUUACCAACCCGAUGCAAACUGCGAAUACCGGAGAAUGUUAUCACGGGAGACACACGGCGGGUGCUAACGUCCGUCGUGAAGAGGGAAACAACCCAGACCGCCAGCUAAGGUCCCAAAGUCAUGGUUAAGUGGGAAACGAUGUGGGAAGGCCCAGACAGCCAGGAUGUUGGCUUAGAAGCAGCCAUCAUUUAAAGAAAGCGUAAUAGCUCACUGGUCGAGUCGGCCUGCGCGGAAGAUGUAACGGGGCUAAACCAUGCACCGAAGCUGCGGCAGCGACGCUUAUGCGUUGUUGGGUAGGGGAGCGUUCUGUAAGCCUGUGAAGGUGUGCUGUGAGGCAUGCUGGAGGUAUCAGAAGUGCGAAUGCUGACAUAAGUAACGAUAAAGCGGGUGAAAAGCCCGCUCGCCGGAAGACCAAGGGUUCCUGUCCAACGUUAAUCGGGGCAGGGUGAGUCGACCCCUAAGGCGAGGCCGAAAGGCGUAGUCGAUGGGAAACAGGUUAAUAUUCCUGUACUUGGUGUUACUGCGAAGAGGGGACGGAGAAGGCUAUGUUGGCCGGGCGACGGUUGUCCCGGUUUAAGCGUGUAGGCUGAUUUUCCAGGCAAAUCCGGAAAAUCAAGGCUGAGGCGUGAUGACGAGGCACUACGGUGCUGAAGCAACAAAUGCCCUGCUUCCAGGAAAAGCCUCUAAGCAUCAGGUAACAUCAAAUCGUACCCCAAACCGACACAGGUGGUCAGGUAGAGAAUACCAAGGCGCUUGAGAGAACUCGGGUGAAGGAACUAGGCAAAAUGGUGCCGUAACUUCGGGAGAAGGCACGCUGAUAUGUAGGUGAAGUCCCUCGCGGAUGGAGCUGAAAUCAGUCGAAGAUACCAGCUGGCUGCAACUGUUUAUUAAAAACACAGCACUGUGCAAACACGAAAGUGGACGUAUACGGUGUGACGCCUGCCCGGUGCCGGAAGGUUAAUUGAUGGGGUUAGCGGCAACGCGAAGCUCUUGAUCGAAGCCCCGGUAAACGGCGGCCGUAACUAUAACGGUCCUAAGGUAGCGAAAUUCCUUGUCGGGUAAGUUCCGACCUGCACGAAUGGCGUAAUGAUGGCCAGGCUGUCUCCACCCGAGACUCAGUGAAAUUGAACUCGCUGUGAAGAUGCAGUGUACCCGCGGCAAGACGGAAAGACCCCGUGAACCUUUACUAUAGCUUGACACUGAACAUUGAGCCUUGAUGUGUAGGAUAGGUGGGAGGCUUUGAAGUGUGGACGCCAGUCUGCAUGGAGCCGACCUUGAAAUACCACCCUUUAAUGUUUGAUGUUCUAACGUGGGCCCCUAAUCGGGGUUGCGGACAGUGUCUGGUGGGUAGUUUGACUGGGGCGGUCUCCUCCUAAAGAGUAACGGAGGAGCACGAAGGUUGGCUAAUCCUGGUCGGACAUCAGGAGGUUAGUGCAAUGGCAUAAGCCAGCUUGACUGCGAGCGUGACGGCGCGAGCAGGUGCGAAAGCAGGUCAUAGUGAUCCGGUGGUUCUGAAUGGAAGGGCCAUCGCUCAACGGAUAAAAGGUACUCCGGGGAUAACAGGCUGAUACCGCCCAAGAGUUCAUAUCGACGGCGGUGUUUGGCACCUCGAUGUCGGCUCAUCACAUCCUGGGGCUGAAGUAGGUCCCAAGGGUAUGGCUGUUCGCCAUUUAAAGUGGUACGCGAGCUGGGUUUAGAACGUCGUGAGACAGUUCGGUCCCUAUCUGCCGUGGGCGCUGGAGAACUGAGGGGGGCUGCUCCUAGUACGAGAGGACCGGAGUGGACGCAUCACUGGUGUUCGGGUUGUCAUGCCAAUGGCACUGCCCGGUAGCUAAAUGCGGAAGAGAUAAGUGCUGAAAGCAUCUAAGCACGAAACUUGCCCCGAGAUGAGUUCUCCCUGACUCCUUGAGAGUCCUGAAGGAACGUUGAAGACGACGACGUUGAUAGGCCGGGUGUGUAAGCGCAGCGAUGCGUUGAGCUAACCGGUACUAAUGAACCGUGAGGCUUAACCUUACAACGCCGAAG